Regulatory RNA element from Geodermatophilus sp. Leaf369, 101 nucleotides. It matches the Rfam family "Actino-pnp RNA". The record is from Rfam. NCBI's taxonomy places the organism in Bacteria, Bacillati, Actinomycetota, Actinomycetes, Geodermatophilales, Geodermatophilaceae.
CCCGGUCCUCGGUGGUGGCCCCCGGGACGCAGCGGACGUCCGGCGCACGACGCGCCGGGCCUCCCGACCGCGCGACCCGAGGGCUUCGAUCGAAGACCGGU